This 459-nucleotide ribosomal RNA is filed under the name uncultured bacterium. RNAcentral describes it as "partial 16S ribosomal RNA". It matches the Rfam family "Bacterial small subunit ribosomal RNA", at positions 29 to 523 of the family's 1533-position model. The record is from RNAcentral.
AACGAACGCUGGCGGUAGGCCUAACACAUGCAAGUCGAACGUGAAGCCACCUUCGGGUGGUGGAAAGUGGCAGACGGGUGAGUAACGCGUGGGAACGGGCCUUUCGGUUCGGGAUAACCCAGGGAAACUUGGGCUAAUACCGGAUACGCCCCCCGGGGGAAAGAUUCAUUGCCGAAAGAUCGGCCCGCGUCGGAUUAGCUAGUUGGUGGGGUAAAAGCCUACCAAGGCGACGAUCCGUAGCUGGUCUGAGAGGAUGACCAGCCACACUGGGACUGAGACACGGCCCAGACUCCUACGGGAGGCAGCAGUGGGCAAUAUUGGACAAUGGGCGCAAGCCUGAUCCAGCCAUGCCGCGUGGGUGAAGAAGGCCCUAGGGUUGUAAACCCCUUUCAGCGGGGAAGAUAAUGACGGUACCCGCAGAAGAAGCCCCGGCUAACUCCGUGCCAGCCGCCGCCGUAA